UAUCUUGGUCUCGGAUAUGUCAGGGUUCCAUGUGGAAUUUUUCAGAACACUCAUCUACCCUUACCCUUCACCUGCAGCCUCAUACAAUGUCCUAGUGAACCUCUGAUAGUGACGGACAUGUGUCCUCUCUUUCAGAAGCAACAUCAAAAUGUGUGGAAUUGUGCUAACCCUAGCUAGUCAAGUAGACUUCCAGAAAUGGUUACCAAAGACAAAAAGGAGAAUCUGCUGACUGAAUAAAGGAAGAACCGUUUCACUGAAGAGAUUCGUUAUGUUUUCUUCGUUCCUAAGAGUUGGAUUUUCUCUCAGAUCAUUUGAAAAUGACAUGUAUGCUUUAAGGAAAGGUCAAAAUUGUAUCUUACACCUACUGAAUUUGUGGAACUAUCUGUACAAUAAAAACUCAAAUUUUCAA
Molecule: non-coding RNA, 409 nt
Organism: Odocoileus virginianus texanus
Lineage: Eukaryota; Metazoa; Chordata; Mammalia; Artiodactyla; Cervidae
Source: RefSeq, a predicted model, not a curated record